CUCCUCAUCUUCUCUUCAGACUACAAAUGUAAUGGUUGGAGCUCCAGCAGCUAUCUUCUUCCCUGAGGUGGCCUUAAGAAUGGAAGUCCUCACAUUAGGGUGACAAGAGAAAAGGAGUCUGGGUCCCUGAUCCGUGGGACACUAACUCCCUAUCCCAGCUGCCUACCUCAAAUGUAUUUCAAGUGAUUGCCUUGGUUUCCGAUUGUUGCUCGGACAAAUCACUCCAAAGUUACUAGCUUAAAAUUACACUUUUUUUUUUUUUAACCAUGGUAUUCUAUAGACCAGAGUCUGACAGGGGUCUUAAUGGGCAAGAUCUAGGUGUCAGCAGGAUGUAUGGUAGUUGUGCCUCCUAGUCUUUUCCAGAUUCUAGAAGCUCCCCACACUCCUUGGAUCAUGGCCUCUCAUUCUGUCUUCAAAGCAGCAAUAUCAGGCGUAUCCUUCUCAUACUGCCAUCACUUUGGUUCUCUCUUACGAUUUCCUCUUCCACUAUAAAGUAUUUUGGGGAUAGCAUAGGACCUACCUGAAUAAUCCAGGAUGAUUAAGGUCAGUUUAUUAGCGACUUUGAUUUCAACUGCCUCCUCAAUUCCCCUUUGCCACAUAACCUAAGAUAUUCACAGGUUCCAGAGAUCGGGACAUAGACACACAGUGGAAGAGAAAUAAAUUUCUAUCUUAUACAAACCACUGAUUUUCAAGUCUUUGUUGCCCACAGCUGAGCCUAACGUAUUCCUGUGACAGACACUUGUUGAAAACCCACUGCCAUGCCAUGGUGGUGCUGGCUGGGGUCUGAUAAUACUGGAUGAUCUAAUAUUUCUGGUCCUCCAGAGGCCGUGAGACUCAUCUUACAACAUCACAUGGCCCCAGAAUCAUCCACAAGCCCACAGUAAUGCCACCAGAGAAGAAAGAGGCCAUUCACCAAUGAACUGACCACAGCUCCUGCUCCCCAGCCUCUCAGGUUUGCCUCAGCACAGAGAAGGAUCAGGGUCAGGAAGAGACUUGCCCAGGUGUCCAUAGAAGUUCAUGGCAUUGCCAAGACUAGAACCCAAGUCUCUGAAUACCACUCCUCCAUCACAUUAUUUUCCUGGGUUUUUCAAGGAAGGACAUACUGGACAUACUACCCUUGGUCCCUGGCACCCAGUCACAACCUCUGGCACAGGCCGAAGACCGUGUUUACCUCCAUUGCAAUGAUUCCAGUGACAUCAGAGACUUACAGAAUUUGGCUGGCCUUUCUUUAUUCUCUUUCUACCUCUGGGCUAUGCAUAGUGAAAUUCUCUGAUGGUAUUCAUUUUCCUGCCCUUCACACCCUCAUGCUCCAUUUUUCCUAUUUGUUAAGUAAGUUCCUAUGAGUACUUAAUAGGACUUAUGAGGUAACAUGGAUAGCCAAAGAUCAAGUUAAGGGCUCAGGCUUGUGAAGUUAUGUGAUUCAGUGCCAUCUUUGAUUUUGUCCUCCUCUAUCUCUCUGAUUGUCAGCAUUUCCAUCUUGAAAAAAAAAGGGGGGGAGGAGACAGCAAAUGUGCUUCAAAAUACUUGCAAGGAACAGCUCAUAAAACUCAUUGUGAGGCACAUUAGCACCGCACACAGUGUCAUCUAACUGCUUAUAAUGAAAUGUUGAGCAACUAGGAAUCCAGCUCACCCCAUCUGGCUCUGAGUCACACUCCCUAGUAACACUAAGUGAAAGUGAAGAGAACUUGCACCAGGCCAGGAUACAAAGCCGGGAAGUGCCUGACAGCCAACCUCACAUGGAGAUGUGCCUGAGAGCCAGUGGACCUGGAAAACCUUCAUAAAGCCAUUUGCUUAAACCCUUUGCUCUGCUCUUCUUAAAGAUCGAUUUCCCAAGCUCUCUUUGGUAACUGUUUCUGGGUUACACACCCAGAUAGUUGGAAAGACUUCCCUUAUGUAAUUCAAUGUUUUGUUGUUGCUGUUGUUGUUUUAUGGCUGCACCUGCGGCAUAUGGAAGUUCCCAGGCCAGGGAUUGAAUCCAAGCCAAAGCUGCAACCUACACUGCAGCUGCAACAAUACCAGAUUCUUUAACACACUGUGCUGGGCCAGGGAUCAAACCCACACCUCCACAGCAAUCCGAGCCACUGCAGUCAGAUUCUUAACCCACUACACUACAGUGGGACUCCCCCGUAAGAGUUUUCACAUUGUGUUAAAAAUGCUUGAGUCUGAGUGGUUUAGACCUGGAUGAGAUCUUAUAGAUCAUUUCUUCAAAAUAUCUAAAUUCUGCACAUGAGAAGAUUGUGGUUCUAUAUGGUCUUGCUCAAGGUUAUACAAUUAGUGUUGAGACAAAGAACUGUCAACCAGGCCUAUGGAAUUUUGAUAAUGAUGUAUCACUAGAUAAUAUUUAGCUUAUGCUAAUUCCUAAUUUUUACUUUCUUUGCAUAAUACCUCCUGAUAUUUGUAGAGCACUCAUAUUUAUUUUGAGCAAAAGCAGUCAUCCCCCUUCUUGUAUAAUAGUUGUUUACUCUUCUUCUGUCAGAGAACUCAUUUUCCCUCAAUUAAGCAUAAUCCUGCACAUUCAUGCCAACUUCUUUAACUUAAGGGGUCAUAUUGAAUUGCAAUUCUACUCUACUUGGUUUCAUCUUAACUUUAUGGAAGAGCUCCUAUAAGCCAGUCGCUGUCACGUAGCACCUCAUCUGAUCCUCCAGACAACCCUAUCUUAGGGAUAUUAUUAUUCACAUCUUAGAGUGGAAACAAAAUGAGUCAGAAAAAGAUUAAGCAGUAGACCCAAGGCUGUCCAUCUGCUGAGACCCAUGUCUUCUCUUUUGUGCUUAGGACAGCAUGUGACCUCUCACACAAUGGCAGCCAACCCGCAUAAUUUUCUUCUAGCAGUAAGUCAAAGAAUGGUGCUCUUUUUCCAACACACCUACCAUGGAAGUAAAUACUAAGUAGCAUAAUUAGCCAAGGCCAAUAGGUAGAGAAAGUCACAUACUCUUCAAGUUGAAGGUGAAUGAUAACUUCAACAUUCCCCACAACAGAGGUUAGUGAGAAGAAAGUGUAACUUUUCCUUUCAAUAUAUAGUCACAGCUAUGUAAACAAGGAGGAAAAUGAAGACGGUAGAUGGUAGAAGAUGCCUGGAGUCUGAAUGAAGGAGUGGUUGUUUCUGAGGGGGAUCAGGGAAAAUGCCUUGGAGGAAGGCCCCAGGCAUGCGUGAGCGGGAGGACUCAAAGAAGAAGACAUCAGGGCACAGGCAGUUGAGCCAGAUGUUAAGAGAAGGAGACCAAAGUGAGGACAGGUUUGGGAAAAGGCGUGAAAUGAAGAACUCCUGAAAUAACUGGGAGUAAUAAGCUGGGGCGGGGGGAGAUAGAUAAUUCUGGGUUUCCGUGUAUCUGAAGGGUAACCAGUCUAAGGCAGGUGAGACUUGCUCUGUGAAUUGAAAAUUCCAAGUUAUCGGUUAAUUAGGUUAUACACAGUCAGCAGUGGUCUCAGAAAAGCUAAGCCAAGAAGGAGGCACAUGGUUUCUAACCAUUAGACCUGCUCAGUAAUGGCAUGGCUUUCUUUGGAGAGAAAGCCACCCAGGAAACCCAGAGACCCCCCCAGCCCAAGGAGCUGGGUUGUAGAAAGUAUCUCUGCAUUCUGGGGGGGAUGGGCUUAGAUAAACCCCAAAGGCACUUUCGUUUCUGAUUUUCUAAAAUUCCAAAAGCCCCACACAAGAAAGAACAUUUCAGACUGGAGAACAACAUGAGGGAGACUGGAUCUCCUCAGAAGAUGGGCCUUCCCUGUGCAAACAAUGCUCUGUCUCCAAGUGAAAGGAAUACUUUCCAAGGUACCAUCCAGCCUGGGUCUUAAAUUAGACCUAACAAUGCUUUUGCAUCUUAUAUUUUUUUACUG
Molecule: long non-coding RNA, 3828 nt
Filed under: Sus scrofa (pig)
Lineage: Eukaryota; Metazoa; Chordata; Mammalia; Artiodactyla; Suidae
Description: lncRNA (ENSSSCG00050057793.1)
Source: RNAcentral